Molecule: ribosomal RNA, 380 nt
Filed under: uncultured eukaryote
Lineage: Eukaryota
Description: partial 18S ribosomal RNA
Rfam family: Eukaryotic small subunit ribosomal RNA
Source: RNAcentral
CAAUAGCGUAUAUUAAAGUUGUUGCAGUUAAAAAGCUCGUAGUUGGAUUUGUGGCGUACGGUGUGCUCCGGGCACUUGUUGUCUGAGUAACCUGCUGUUGCCAUCCUUGGGUGGAACCUGUGUGGCAUUAGGUUGUCGUGCAGGGGAUGCCCAUCAUUUACUGUGAAAAAAUUAGAGUGUUCAAAGCAGGCUUAUGCCGUUGAAUAUAUUAGCAUGGAAUAAUGAGAUAGGACUUUUUUGCUAUUUUGUUGGUUUGCGCAAAGAGGUAAUGAUUAAUAGGGACAGUUGGGGGUAUUCGUAUUCCAUUGUCAGAGGUGAAAUUCUUGGAUUUUUGGAAGACGAACUACUGCGAAAGCAUUUACCAAGGAUGUUUUCAUUAA